RNAcentral lists this long non-coding RNA (715 nucleotides) under Oryza brachyantha (malo sina). RNAcentral's name for it is "long non-coding RNA (OBRA_LNC002071)". Lineage: Eukaryota; Viridiplantae; Streptophyta; Magnoliopsida; Poales; Poaceae. The record is from RNAcentral.
UCUUGACGUAGUUUACAUGAUUGGUUUUGAACUCGUCUCGUUUUAAUAAUUUGAAUCGAAUUUCAUAAUAUCGUAUCGCCUGAUAGGAAUCUCAAACAAGAAAAAGAUGCCUUCGGUUUGUGCAUAUAAUCAUAGGCAGAAGUAGACGGGGAGUAUUGUUAAUUCAUUGUUGAUGGUCUGUUCCACAAUUAUUUUUAGGGCCAUAAUAGUAAAGUAAUAUAAACAAAAGAAUAAUAAUCAGAUUCCAACCAUCUUUGGUUGAAGCUGCCCAACCACCACCCAAUCAACAAAAGAGGGGAGAAGAUUAUUCAACCAAUGCACUAUGCUACACACCACACGCUUUUUUUUCUCAUCUAACUUCUCUUCUUGAGAGAGAGAGAGAGAGAGGGAGGAGAGAAAAGUAAGAAACAAAAUUCAUAAAAUUCAUAUUACAAAAUUUUUUCAAAAAAAAAGGAGUGAGAGAAGGAGAGGAGGGGAAAAAAAUUAGAAAUCGAAGAAAUUAAAUCCUCUAAAUUGGCUCAGCUCAGCUAGCCGUCGAAGCCGGUUCGGCUCCAGACGGCGUCGCGGACGCGGGAGGCGUCGCGGCCCUUGAGCGUCCGGCCGACGCCCUCCACCACCGACGACCUCGCCUGCCGCCGCGCCAGGUACACGUGGGGCGGCACCCACCCGUCGCCGUCGUUGGCCUCGGCCUCGGCCUCGCGGCGCUUCUCCUCGG